GGAAACGGGAGAUGUAGGCUUUGCCUGCUAUCUCUUACCCAUGUCUUUUGAGUACCUUACGUUUCCUCGGCGGGUCCGCCCGCCGAUUGGACAAUUUAAACCAUUUGCAGUUGCAAUCAGCGUCUGAAAAAACUUAAUAGUUACAACUUUCAACAACGGAUCUCUUGGUUCUGGCAUCGAUGAAGAACGCAGCGAAAUGCGAUAAGUAGUGUGAAUUGCAGAAUUCAGUGAAUCAUCGAAUCUUUGAACGCACAUUGCGCCCCUUGGUAUUCCAUGGGGCAUGCCUGUUCGAGCGUCAUUUGUACCUUCAAGCUCUGCUUGGUGUUGGGUGUUUGUCUCGCCUCUGCGUGUAGACUCGCCUCAAAACAAUUGGCAGCCGGCGUAUUGAUUUCGGAGCGCAGUACAUCUCGCGCUUUGCACUCAUAACGACGACGUCCAAAAGUACAUUUUUACACUCUUGACCUCGGAUCAGGUAGGGAUACCCGCUGAACUUAAG
Molecule: ribosomal RNA, 496 nt
Filed under: Didymella sp. HL46
Lineage: Eukaryota; Fungi; Ascomycota; Dothideomycetes; Pleosporales; Didymellaceae
Description: eukaryotic LSU rRNA
Rfam family: 5.8S ribosomal RNA (bases 145-298)
Source: RNAcentral